CAGCCGCCACGGGAAAACGGAGGGGGCUAGCGUUGUUCGGAAUUACUGGGCGUAAAGCGCACGUAGGCGGCUUGGUAAGUUAGAGGUGAAAGCCUGGAGCUCAACUCCGGAAUUGCCUUUAAGACUGCCGAGCUAGUAGGUGAGAGAGGUAAGUGGAAUUCCGAGUGUAGAGGUGAAAUUCGUAGAUAUUCGGAAGAACACCAGUGGCGAAGGCGGCUUACUGGCUCAUUCUAGACGCUGAGGUGCGAAAGCGUGGGGGAGCAAACAGGAUUAGAUACCCCUGUAGUCCCUGUCUCUUAUA
Molecule: ribosomal RNA, 301 nt
Filed under: uncultured bacterium
Lineage: Bacteria
Description: partial 16S ribosomal RNA
Rfam family: Bacterial small subunit ribosomal RNA
Source: RNAcentral